GCCAACGGUCAAAUCACGUUGAACCUACAAGUUCUCGUCCGAUCACUUCAGUCAAGCAACGUUGAGCGCGGUUAGUACUUAAAUGGGUGACCGUUUGGGAACACCGCGUACUGUUGGCAUCU
RNAcentral lists this ribosomal RNA (122 nucleotides) under Vollenhovia emeryi. Lineage: Eukaryota; Metazoa; Arthropoda; Insecta; Hymenoptera; Formicidae. The record is from RNAcentral.